Molecule: long non-coding RNA, 546 nt
Filed under: Drosophila guanche
Lineage: Eukaryota; Metazoa; Arthropoda; Insecta; Diptera; Drosophilidae
Source: RNAcentral
CACCGCUAAGGUGCAGAUGCACUAUUGUCCCAAUGAUCAGUUUUGGUGGCCAAAAGCUAAUUUUUAAAAGUUAAAACCAAGACUCGGACACUUACGAAAAAUCUGAUGUGAAACCUAGCUGUCAUUAUUGCACAGAAUGUGCAGGGAAAAAGUACCAAUUUUAUUUCUGUUUUAAAUAUCUCAUAAAUUGGAAAAUACGAUUAACUGAUCCAAUUUUUUUGAUGCAUUUUAUUUAGUAGGAUUUUUACUACGUGUUCUGUAAUGUGAACGAUAUCUAGUGGUUGGCGAUGUCUUCUACAUCUAGAUGUAGUCCUGAGUGCCGGGUAUAAAAGUUGUGACACGUAAGAAGCGUCUCACACGUCCCUUCUCGUUUUUUACUACUUUUACCACGUUCUUUCUCAACAAUAUGCCAAAAUACACACAUCCAUAAACUAUUCCCUUGGGCACCCAAUAAGAAAGGCAGUAUGUAAUUCAAAAAGAAAUCAGAUUGGAGCCGUACUUUAAUCCCAAACCAUUAUUCUUUAUGAGAUGUUCUGUCAAAUCAUG